UACGGGGGGGGCAAGCGUUGUUCGGAAUUACUGGGCGUAAAGGGCGCGUAGGCGGCCACCGCAAGUCGGUUGUGAAAUCUCCGGGCUUAACCCGGAAAGGUCAAUCGAUACUGCGGGGCUAGAGUGCAGAAGGGGCAACUGGAAUUCUCGGUGUAGCGGUGAAAUGCGUAGAUAUCGAGAGGAACACCUGCGGCGAAGGCGGGUUGCUGGGCUGACACUGACGCUGAAGCGCGAAAGCUAGGGGAGCGAACGGG
RNAcentral lists this ribosomal RNA (254 nucleotides) under uncultured bacterium. RNAcentral's name for it is "partial 16S ribosomal RNA". It matches the Rfam family "Bacterial small subunit ribosomal RNA", at positions 524 to 776 of the family's 1533-position model. The record is from RNAcentral.